AGUCUGGUGCCAGCAGCCGCGGUAAUUCCAGCUCCAAUAGCGUAUAUUAAAGUUGUUGCAGUUAAAAAGCUCGUAGUUGGAUUUCGGGGCUCCUUAUGUAAUAGUCAUGCGGUGGACACUUGCUUGUUGCUUUAGGGGGGUGUUUUUUUGGGGCAACCCGAGGACACCACCCGGCGGCAGGGGAAAGGCCACUGCGGGCGGGGCCCAUUUAUAUUUCUCGAAGACGUCACGGGCCCUUAACUGGUGUACUGUGGUCGCGGAUUCGAGACGUUUACUUUGAAAAAAUUAGAGUGUUCAAAGCAGGCAAUCAAAAACGCUUGAAUACAUUAGCAUGGAAUAAUGGAAUAGGACUUUGGUCUUAUUUUGUUGGUUUCUAGGACUGAAGUAAUGAUUAAUAGGGACAGUUGGGGGCAUUCGUAUUUAAUUGUCAGAGGUGAAAUUCUUGGAUUUAUGAAAGACGAACUUCUGCGAAAGCAUUUGCCAAGGAUGUUUUCAUUAAUCAAGAACGAAAGUUAGGGGAUCGAAGACGAUUAGAUACCGUCGUAGUCCUAACCAUAAACUAUGCCGACUAGGGAUCAGUGGGGAACAAAUCAAAAAACUCCAUUGGCACCUUAUGAGAAAUCAAAGGUUUUGGGUUCUGGGGAAAGUACCAACGCAAGUUGGAAACUUAAAGGAAUUGACGGAAGGGCACACCAGGCGUGGAAUCUGCGGCUUAAUUUUACCCAACACGGGGAAACUCACCAGGUCCAGACAAAAUAAGGAUUGACAGAUUGAGAGCUCUUUCUUGAUUUUUUGGGCAGUGGUGCAUGGCCGUUCUUAGUUGGUGGAGCGAUCUGUCUGGUUAAUUCCGAUAACGAACGAGACCUUAACCUGCUAAAUAGCGACGUCAUUCCUUGUGAAGGACGGAUUUUGACUUCUUAGAGGGACUAUCGGUGACUAACCGAUGGAAGUUUGAGGCAAUAACAGGUCUGUGAUGCCCUUAGAUGUUCUGGGCCGCACGCGCGUUACACUGACAGAGGCAGCGAGUUUUUUUAAAUAUCCUGGCCUGGAAAGGUUUGGGUAAUCUUGUGAAUCUCUGUCGUGAUGGGGAUAGAUCUUUGUAAUUAUCGAUCUUCAACGAGGAAUGCCUUGUAAUCGCGGUUCAUCAAAUCGCGUUGACUACGUCCCUGCCCUUUGUACACACCGCCCGUCGCUACUACCGAUUGAAUGGUUUAGUGAGGUCUCGGGACUGGCGCGGCUUGGCUGUAAAAGGCCGAUCCAUGCUGGGAACUUGCCCAAACUUGAUCAUUUAGAGGAAGUAAAAGUC
Molecule: ribosomal RNA, 1306 nt
Filed under: metagenome
Description: SSU rRNA
Rfam family: Eukaryotic small subunit ribosomal RNA
Source: RNAcentral